AGCUUCAUCAGUUUCUCAGAGAUGAAGAAGAAGCUACAAUCACUGCACUGAGAGAGGAAGAGGAGCAGAAGAAGCAGAUGAUGAAGGAGAAGCUGGAGGAGAUGAACACACACAUCUCAGCUCUUUCACACACAAUCAAAGACACGGAGGAGAUGAUGAAAGACAGUGACAUCUGCUUUCUGAAGAAGUUUCCAGUCUCGAUGGAAAGAGUCCAGAUCUCAUCACAGCCGGAUCCACAGACUCCUUCUGGAGCUCUGAUU
Long non-coding RNA from Carassius auratus (goldfish), 260 nucleotides. RefSeq lists it as uncharacterized. Lineage: Eukaryota; Metazoa; Chordata; Actinopteri; Cypriniformes; Cyprinidae. The transcript is spliced from 3 exons. The record is from RefSeq and is a predicted model, not a curated record.